RNAcentral lists this long non-coding RNA (976 nucleotides) under Salmo salar (Atlantic salmon). RNAcentral's name for it is "lncRNA (ENSSSAG00000083954.1)". The record is from RNAcentral. Lineage: Eukaryota; Metazoa; Chordata; Actinopteri; Salmoniformes; Salmonidae.
AGCAAUUCCAGCUACUAAAUACCCUGCAACAAGUAGCUUUUUGGCCUCCGCCGUUUGACUUUCGAUUUGGUAGCCCUUUUGGAAAUGUUCGUGGACUUUUUUCCUGCAGCAGAUUCCAUCAUUUUGUAUAUUAUUUGGAGUUAUUGCGCAUUGCGUUUGUAUAAGUGUUUCGGUAGCUACUGUUUUUAACGUACUCCACGGCAUGUUGCAUUGGCUCUUCGCCAUGUCGUCCCUCUUUAGAAGAUCAGGAUGUGUUUCUUCAUGCUGAAGAUGAAGAUGGCUGUGUUUUCGGUGACCGCUGUGCGUCUGUGGUGGCAAUAGCUCGCUUAGUAUCUCGUCACGUCGCUUUUCUUUUACUGCCUCUUUUCUUUCUUGCUAAGAGACACACACAAAUACUCCUAGACUUUUUCACUCCUCUUACCAUUUAUGUCCCCCUCUCCCUUUCUCUCCCAAUCCCUCUUUCUUUCUUCCUUUCUAACUUUCUCUCUCUAGCUGUCCCGCUCUCUUUCUCUCUCCCUCUCUUCCUCUUUCCUUCCUGUGUUAGGAGAGUAGGAGGGCGGUGCAGCAGUGGCAGAGGGUUUUUUGGGACAGGUGCCAAUUUCAAACAAAAGACACAACAACGCAAUGAGAUAACUACACUAUGUUCUGGAUCUACUACCCUGGUGGAUAAUAAGGCCUGUCUGGAUUUCAACGCCCUGGAUUUUGCAUCCAUAGUUGGUGUGUGAUGCAACUGUCUACCCAUGUCCGAUUUGAGGCCGGUGGUGGCUGGCCCGCUCCAGGAGUCUGAGGUGCGGGAGGUUCCUCCGCCCCUUCUGGACAUCGAGGGGGCCCUGGGGUACUCCGUUCGCUCCAUACUGGAUUCGAGAUGUCGGGCGAGGGGCCUUCAGUAUCUUGUGGGAGGGGUAUGGUCUGGAGGAAAGGUGCUGGGUUCCGGUCGAGGAAGUGUUGGACCCUUUAAUGCUGCAGGAGUUCCCCC